AUUGAACGCUGACGGAAUGCUUUACACAUGCAAGUCGAACGGCAGCACGGGAGCUUGCUCCUGGUGGCGAGUGGCGAACGGGUGAGUAACAUAUCGGAACAUGUCCAAUAAUGGGGGAUAACUACCCGAAAGGAUAGCUAAUACCGCAUACGCCCUGAGGGGGAAAGCGGGGGAUCGUAAGACCUCGCGUUAAUGGAGUGACCGAUAUCUGAUUAGCUAGUUGGUGAGGAAAGGCUCACCAAGGCGACGAUCAGUAGCUGGUCUGAGAGGACGACCAGCCACACUGGAACUGAGACACGGUCCAGACUCCUACGGGAGGCAGCAGUGGGGAAUUUGGACAAUGGGCGCAAGCCUGAUCCAGCCAUUCCGCGUGAGUGAAGAAGGCCUGG
This 389-nucleotide ribosomal RNA is filed under the name uncultured bacterium. RNAcentral's name for it is "bacterial SSU rRNA". It matches the Rfam family "Bacterial small subunit ribosomal RNA", at positions 30 to 419 of the family's 1533-position model. The record is from RNAcentral.